GCAAAAAGACCAAAAUACCCCUAGCCUCCUUCAACCCUAGACAUUCCUUGUCUCUUUCACCGCGCACCCUCUAUCUCUCUCCUCCCCCUAUCUCUUUUCUUCUGAAUUCUGCUACUCCCCCAAAACCUUCUCCCUGCUUCAUUCUCUCCUCCACCUCUCGCCGUCGCCAUCAUCACCACCAUCACCGUCGGAUCUUUAGGGUUUCGUCCGCCGAAGCCGUUGAAAACGCCAGAAAGAUCGAAAACUGCGAAGGAGGAGGUAAAAAGUGGCGAUUACGAUGAGUCGCCGCCAUUGUUAAGGUUUUCAGUUUAUUAUUAUGGUUUCUUGGGUAUGAUUGAUGACUUGGUGUAACACUGCUUCUCUCAUUUGGCUGGAGGAAUCGACAGAUGCAUUUCUAUAACAAAAUCUUUUCCAUGGCAGAUGUAUUGUCACUCCGACAACUGGGUAUGUUCUUUGCUAUUGCCUUGAUCAUAUCUUACAUUUUUGUGUUUCUGCCUUUAUCACCUUAAUUGAUGGUUUUUGUUUCAAAUUAGUGCUAAUUGAGUUACUGUGAAUUAAGUGGGGUUUCCCUGCUAUCUUUACAGGUUGAGUUUCUAUGAUUUUUACUGGGUUUGAUGAUAAUUUGUUGUUAUGGAUUUGAUUUUGUUCAUGUCUGAUCUUUGGUUUUGGAUCAGAUCAUUACUAAGUUCGUUGUAAUUAGUAGUAAUAAUUAUUGUUUUAUUUUAAGAGAAUUGGUGUUAUUUUGUUGAUCUGGGUUGAUUAUAGUCGGUGCAUUUUAAUAAAGUAGGAUUUAAUUGAAUUUUAACUCCAUAAAUCAUCUCCUGGCUAAUUUUUUAUGUUUGUACUAAUUUUUCAUGUUUAUUUUUUGUUGAUUUGUACUGAUUUUCAUUUUUAAUUUUGUUGAAUUUGUACUGAUUUUUCAUGUUUAAUUUUCAUACAUUAUUACCAAUUUACAUAUCCAGAUUCUUCAAUUCUACUAGAAUGGUUAGUUAAUAAUUAUUAUCGUAAAAUAUUUGAUAAGUUGAUUGUUUUGUUUAAUCGGCCUAGCUUUUUUGCCGUCUUAAUGUGAUAGAAUGACCUGCAUUCCUUUUUUUUAAACAAAUGCAUUUUGAGGAGAUUUGGGGUUGUGAUAAGUUUGAAGGAAACAAGGAUAUGUUAGGUUAUUUCACAUCCUUUCAUUUUAGUACCAUGCUCACUUCCUUCAAACUUAUCACAACCCCAAAUCUCCUAAAAAUGUGCACCGCAGGUUUUCCUCAAUCAUCAGACCAAAUUUCAAGGUAAAUUUCCAAUCAUUAGACCAAAUUUCAAGGUAAUUACCAAUUGAAGGGUUAUUAUCCAAAUUAUUAUUCCAGUUUUGCAAAAUGAAUUGUGACAGAUUACGAAGAUUGAAUUGUUCGCAGAUACAAUUUCUAAUUGAGAAUCGAAGACGUAUACAAUUUCUAACUGAGAUUGAAUUAUUGAGAUUGAACAGGGAGAUUGAAAUAAUUAUCUCAAGUACACUUACCCCUGAGAUUGAAAUCAAUAAGUGGACGAAUUAUUUACUGAGAUGUGUAAUUUACUGAGAUUGAACAAGUGAACAGGGGUAUAGUGCUCGAAUUAUUUCAAUUUCGGCAAGUAUACCGAAAUUGUAUAAUGAUGAAGACGAAUUAUUGUUGAAUUAUUUCAAUCUUUAUCUGUUUGCGAAUUAUUUCAAUCUCAGUAAAUUACAAAUCUGUUAUAUAUAUGUCUGUUUUUGAUAUAAACAAGUUUUAUAUAUCCAGGGCUUAGAGUUACCAUUGACUGCAACUUGCGAAUGGUGAGGUGAAAACAAGAGGGGAAGGGAAGCUUGAUAAAGAUGGGAAGUUUAUAGUAGAUUUUCCAUAUAAUAAUUUUUCUGUUGUAGCCAAAGAAAUAUUUCUUUGUAUUAUUUCCCAGCAAAUUGAUUUAAUUUCUUUAUUUUGGUACUAGGAUUUAGAUUCUUUGUCAUUUAGAAGCAUGAUUAUUCUAUCUCACUAUUUAGAUGUAUGAUUGUAUAGUAUAACCUUAAUUUUUUUAAAUAUGAACUUUGUGAACA
This is a long non-coding RNA of Spinacia oleracea (spinach), 2053 nucleotides long. RefSeq lists it as uncharacterized. Lineage: Eukaryota; Viridiplantae; Streptophyta; Magnoliopsida; Caryophyllales; Amaranthaceae. The transcript has 2 exons. The record is from RefSeq and is a predicted model, not a curated record.